AGGGGAGUAGCUCAACGGUAGAGUAGUGGUCUCCAAAACCAUUGGUUGCGUGUUCGAAUCGCGUCUCCCCUGCCA
This 75-nucleotide transfer RNA is filed under the name Bacillota bacterium. RNAcentral describes it as "tRNA-Trp". It matches the Rfam family "tRNA". From Rfam's summary of the family: Transfer RNA (tRNA) molecules are approximately 80 nucleotides in length. Their secondary structure includes four short double-helical elements and three loops (D, anti-codon, and T loops). Further hydrogen bonds mediate the characteristic L-shaped molecular structure. tRNAs have two regions of fundamental functional importance: the anti-codon, which is responsible for specific mRNA codon recognition, and the 3' end, to which the tRNAs corresponding amino acid is attached (by aminoacyl-tRNA synthetases). tRNAs cope with the degeneracy of the genetic code in two manners: having more than one tRNA (with a specific anti-codon) for a particular amino acid; and 'wobble' base-pairing, i.e. permitting non-standard base-pairing at the 3rd anti-codon position. Lineage: Bacteria; Bacillati; Bacillota. The record is from RNAcentral. RNAcentral also lists the same sequence under 1 other name.